This is a long non-coding RNA of Sphaeramia orbicularis (orbiculate cardinalfish), 419 nucleotides long. RefSeq lists it as uncharacterized. Lineage: Eukaryota; Metazoa; Chordata; Actinopteri; Kurtiformes; Apogonidae. The record is from RefSeq and is a predicted model, not a curated record. The transcript has 5 exons.
UUUGCCGCAGUGUUAUGAGGAGAAGCAGGACCUUUAAACUUUCCAGCCAGUUCAGCCACAGAUCGGCGCGAUGGAGCCUCCUCCUGACAAAACAGCUCUGUCUCAGAACUGGACCAGCCCUGGAUCACUGAAGUCUCAACUGUCUCAUCAGGAUCUGGAGCUGAGAUGUCCUCCAGAGGUGGACCAGAGCAACUACAACUCCCAUGAGGCUUUGAGAUAUGACAGACACGCCCACCUCAGCUCUGUGCUGCCUCCUGCUGGUUACAACUGUUAAAGCCUCUGGUAGAUUUCCUGAGCAGCUAACAGGGCUUCUCCUGACUGCCGGCUGAAGCCCCGCCCCCCUGGCACUCCCUGACGAGCUGGAGGAGGCGGAGGAGAAGGCGAACGGGCUGUCGACGGCAGCGUCUGAUGUGACACAG